Molecule: long non-coding RNA, 1630 nt
Organism: Otolemur garnettii (small-eared galago)
Lineage: Eukaryota; Metazoa; Chordata; Mammalia; Primates; Galagidae
Exons: 2
Source: RefSeq, a predicted model, not a curated record
ACGGUGAUGUCUUGCGGGUGAUGAAUAUGAUAAUUGGACAAGGGACGGUGAGUCUGUGCGAGAGCGAGCGAGCGAGGGAGCGGGGCGAGUGGGAGAGGGAGAGGGGAGAGACUGAGGAGGGCGGGGAGGGGACAGGAGAGGAGAGGCUAGAAGAGGAGAAAAAGAAAAGAGGAAGAGAAUGCAGGAGAGGAGAGAAGAGGAAAGAAGAGGAGCGAAGCGGAGAGGGAGCAGGCGGACCCGGCGAGAGCUCUUUUGCGCCGCUCUGCUUUCCCCGGCUGCAAUGGUGUAUUAUUUCAGAGCGCUCCCUCAGCUGAGGGCUCCGCUCCACAACAAGAUUUACUUUAAGACACAGCUGAAGGAAACAGGAAGACUGCACGUCACAGUCUGACUGACGUACCCGGCCCCAGCACCCAAUCGCGAGGCGCCUUCGGAUUCAAGGGGGGAUAGCAAGGCAAGAGAACUUGGGAGGAAAAAAAAUAUAUAAAAGGGGUGGGGGUGAGGGGCUGGGAAGAGAGGAGGGGAGAGGGGCCCCGCGCUCCCCCUCCCCGGCCUCCAUCCCGGGCCCCCACCCCCACCCCCGCCCUGCCACUGCUUCGGGGCGACUGGAUCGCCGCGCCGGGGCCGGAGCAAGCCAUCUGCGGGCACUGUGCAAAGCGGGAGACGGCGCGAGCGGCGCCCGGCUCACUCUCGCUCUCCCAGGACGCAGGUCCUCUGUCUCUCUCCCUCUCUCUCUCUCUUUCUCUCUUUCAUUUCCCAGAUACAGCUGAUCGAGUUCGUCGAGGGCCGAGCGAGUGAGCGCUCCUCAGACUUGGGUGGAGGAAGGCACGUUAAAGUAUAUGGGGGAAAAAGUGGGGGCUUUAGGAGUGGGGUGGUGUAGGAGGAGGGAGUGAGGGAUCUGCAGACCAUUCCACUUUUAAAAGGAUCAUAGGUAGUAUCAAGAAUACAUGUCACCUUUGCUUCCUUUUAAAGGGAAGGUGGACAGUAAAAUACAGGUAGGUUUGGUAUUAAAAUAAUAAGCGCCAGAGGGUUCACGCUGAGUCCGUUGCGUCUGAUAUCAGAAGAUCAACAUUGGCUGAGUCCCAAUCUCCAGUGGAAAUUAUUAAGGAGAAGAAUAUUCACCCUUGGUUGUCUCUAAAAUUAUUAAGAUUGCAGAUGCAGCUGAGAGGCAAACGUGGGUGUGGAUUUUAGAGAAGGAUGUGGAGAACCUUGAUAGAACCCACCACCACCAUCACCACUACCAUCAUCCUGAAGAAGGACAGAGAGAAAUACCAAUCCCAGGGUGCAGGCCGGCCUGCUGCAGGGUGUUUAGAGGCGGACUGACUGACGGGCUCUCUCUCAGGCUCAUCCCCUGUGCUCAGCGUGAGGCCAAGCUCAACCUGGAUUUGUUCUAAAUGGGGAGGGGGGAGUGAAAUGCCACGAGAUCAGUAGCAAGUAGCAGCUGCAGCGUUUUCUCUCCUGGGAACCCCACUGCUUAGAAGCCUCUCCAGUGAUGUUUGUUUAACCAACAGCUUUCUAAGUAAACAGAAGCCAAUCACUCCAAAGAAGUUGCAAUAUAACCCUUGCAAGAAUUUGGAUCCAGGGGUGCUGGCAGAAAAAGUAAUUUUGUAAAUAAUAAAGUCACACCCCCAAA